UUCCAUGGCGGGCCGGGCGGGGCAGCUGCAAGGCUGGCCGGGUCUUCUUCUGCUGAGGUUCCCCGGUAUGUCACCCCCGUUGUCAGGCCCGCCACCUUC
Molecule: non-coding RNA, 99 nt
Filed under: Cupriavidus necator
Lineage: Bacteria; Pseudomonadati; Pseudomonadota; Betaproteobacteria; Burkholderiales; Burkholderiaceae
Also listed under: 1 other name
Source: RNAcentral